Melanotaenia boesemani (Boeseman's rainbowfish) is the source of this 397-nucleotide long non-coding RNA. RefSeq lists it as uncharacterized. Lineage: Eukaryota; Metazoa; Chordata; Actinopteri; Atheriniformes; Melanotaeniidae. The record is from RefSeq and is a predicted model, not a curated record. The transcript has 3 exons.
CAAGAAUAUGAUGAAACUGGGACACUGAGUGACAGCAGACGAAGGCAGAUGGUCAACGUUCUUACAGCACACAUGGUUGAGAGUGAAGGGAGAGUCCCUCAGCGAGUCACCAAAGAGAAUUAUGCACUUGGAAUUGUCACCUUGUUCCCUUCAUUAAGAGAUCCUUUCUCCAGCAAAUAAUAUGAACAUUUUUAUGAUGGACAAAGUGGCUCUGGAUUUCUGGCAUGGCGACUCAAGACGAUUCAAAGGAAGACUAAGUUCAUAUUUAAGGAACCAAAAACACAGACAGCAGUUGGAGGUGAUCCAGAACAGCAGAGAGACCUUCCUCAGAUUGAUGAUCAGCUGGAUGAAAGGCAUUGUGAAGAGGCCAUAUCCUUGAUGAACCACACCAAUGACA